UAAGACGAACCGUACAAACGUUAUUCGGAAUUACUGGGCUUAAAGGGUGCGUAGGCGGCUUGGCAAGUUGGGUGUGAAAUCCCUCGGCUCAACCGAGGAACGGCGCCCAAAACUGCCAGACUUGAGGGAGACAGAGGUGAGUGGAACUUAGGGUGGAGCGGUGAAAUGCGUUGAUAUCCUAAGGAACACCAGUGGCGAAAGCGACUCACUGGGUCUCUUCUGACGCUGAGGCACGAAAGCUAGGGUAGCGAACGGGAUUAGAUACCCCGGUAGUCCUAGCUGUAAACGAUGAGCACUGGGUCGGAGAGUCCUCCAUAGCUUUCCGGCCGUAGCGAAAGUGCUAAGUGCUCCGCCUGGGGAGUAUGGUCGCAAGGCUG
Molecule: ribosomal RNA, 377 nt
Filed under: uncultured bacterium
Lineage: Bacteria
Description: bacterial SSU rRNA
Rfam family: Bacterial small subunit ribosomal RNA
Source: RNAcentral